Molecule: unclassified non-coding RNA, 516 nt
Filed under: Hevea brasiliensis (rubber tree)
Lineage: Eukaryota; Viridiplantae; Streptophyta; Magnoliopsida; Malpighiales; Euphorbiaceae
Source: RNAcentral
GGAAAUCAUCAAGGAGAGUAUCAAGAGGGGAAAUGUCCAUGCACUCACAUAUCCGCACUGUGCAUUAACUAAACAAUCAACCCAAAAUCAGAAUGUCAUAACCCUAGAAGACUGUCACUAGAUAUGCUCAUUAUUGAAAUAAUCCGCUAAAGUAGAAUAAUAAUUUGUUGACAUCCUAGUCCACCUCAAUAAUAGGCAUGUUCUUCUCACAAACUAUGAAGCAAGCAAGCAAGCCAAGAGAAAGGCAUGAAGAAGUGAUCCAAUUUCUUCUUAUUGGCAAUAAGCAAGCAAUAUCAGCAUUUUCUCGGCGAAACGUAAGAAUAAUUCACAAUUAGAAAACCAGAAUGACCAGAAGCCAAUCCAAUUCAGAAGCACAGCCACCUAGAACGCCACCAAAACCCUAGUUAACCGCCCCAAAAAACCCAGAUCCUAAACUAAUACGUGAUCAUAGUAAUAAUGAUAAUAAAUAAUAAGAAUAGUAAAAACCGAUCAGAGCAAGAAAUGAGGUGAUCAAUU